Molecule: non-coding RNA, 21 nt
Filed under: Arabidopsis thaliana (thale cress)
Lineage: Eukaryota; Viridiplantae; Streptophyta; Magnoliopsida; Brassicales; Brassicaceae
Source: RNAcentral
CAUCAGCCGGAUAUCUGGUGU